This is a non-coding RNA of Acanthosepion pharaonis, 99 nucleotides long. NCBI's taxonomy places the organism in Eukaryota, Metazoa, Mollusca, Cephalopoda, Sepiida, Sepiidae. The record is from the annotation of a GenBank genome assembly.
GUUGAAACGCCGGUACCCGUACGAUCACCCAAGUUAAGCAACGUCGAGCCUGGUCAGUACCUAGAUAGGUGACCUCUUGGGAAUGCCAGAUGUUGUAAG